UAGAUGCAUAUCUUUUAGUGUUGGAGAUAGGGCUUCCAAGGAGGGUAAAGAGGCUCUGCGUCAGGUCGAUCCUUUUGCAAGCUUGACUUACCAAUAAGCCAAGACCUCUAGAGCCAUUACUAGUGCAGGUUCGACAUAUGCUAAAGAGAUUGUGGAGCAAUAAAGAUGAUAUUUCCUGCAGGAGAUGACGAUGCAUUGGUUGUAGCAAAAGCUCAAGCCGUGGUGUUGCUACACCAGAAAGAAGCAGAGUUACUAAGUCCCAUUAGCCAAGGUUCCCAAAGAAAGAACAAGCUUAAAUACUCAGAAAAGGAAAAGCAUCAUAAACCCGUAAGUUGAUGCUGCUGCUACUACUUUGUCUUCUCCGAGGCAAAGGAUUUAGACACUUCCAAUGUGUGUUCUAGUGGUUUAUCUCUCAUGAAUUACUGAUUUUCCAUUUUUGGAUGCUUGAAGACAGCUUCUGGUGUACUCUCCAUAAAUAGAUAUUUAGACAACUCUACCCGUGGAAAAGCCUAGGUAAUUUUAAAGGGUUUUAACCAUAGUCAACAUGGCAUUUCGUAGCCUAUAUACAGUCGGAGUUUUUGUUACUCCUUUGAGCU
Eucalyptus grandis is the source of this 596-nucleotide long non-coding RNA. RefSeq lists it as uncharacterized. The transcript is spliced from 2 exons. The record is from RefSeq and is a predicted model, not a curated record. NCBI's taxonomy places the organism in Eukaryota, Viridiplantae, Streptophyta, Magnoliopsida, Myrtales, Myrtaceae.